RNAcentral lists this ribosomal RNA (739 nucleotides) under uncultured bacterium. Its description in RNAcentral is "bacterial SSU rRNA". It matches the Rfam family "Bacterial small subunit ribosomal RNA", at positions 28 to 776 of the family's 1533-position model. The record is from RNAcentral.
AGUGAACGCUGGCGGCGUGCCUAACACAUGCAAGUCGAACGAGAACGGAUUUAAGCUUGCUUAAAUUGUCAGCUAAGUGGCGCACGGGUGAGUAAUGUAUAGUUAACCUGCCUUUAAGAAAGGGAUAACAAUUAGAAAUGAUUGCUAAUACCUUAUAUGCCUUUUAAUCAUAAGAUUGUAAAGGGAAAUGCUUUUGUGCUUAAAGAUGGGACUGUAUAGUAUCAGAUAGUUGGUGGGGUAAUGGCCUACCAAGUCAAUGACGCUUAACUGGUUUGAGAGGAUGAUCAGUCACACUGGAACUGAGACACGGUCCAGACUCCUACGGGAGGCAGCAGUGGGGAAUAUUGCACAAUGGAGGGAACUCUGAUGCAGCAACGCCGCGUGGAGGAUGACACAUUUCGGUGCGUAAACUCCUUUUAUAUAGGAAGAUAAUGACGGUACUAUAUGAAUAAGCACCGGCUAACUCCGUGCCAGCAGCCGCGGUAAUACGGAGGGUGCAAGCGUUACUCGGAAUCACUGGGCGUAAAGAGCAUGUAGGCGGAUUAAUAAGUUUGAAGUGAAAUCCUAUAGCUUAACUAUAGAACUGCUUUGAAAACUGUUAAUCUAGAAUAUGGGAGAGGUAGAUGGAAUUUCUGGUGUAGGGGUAAAAUCCGUAGAGAUCAGAAGGAAUACCGAUUGCGAAGGCGAUCUACUGGAACAUUAUUGACGCUCAGAUGCGAAAGCGUGGGGAGCAAACAGG